This 629-nucleotide ribosomal RNA is filed under the name uncultured beta proteobacterium. RNAcentral describes it as "bacterial SSU rRNA". It matches the Rfam family "Bacterial small subunit ribosomal RNA", at positions 34 to 661 of the family's 1533-position model. Lineage: Bacteria; Pseudomonadati; Pseudomonadota; Betaproteobacteria. The record is from RNAcentral.
CNCUGGCGGCAUGCCUUNACAUGCAAGUCGAACGGUAACGCGGGGCAACCUGGCGACGAGUGGCGAACGGGUGAGUAAUAUAUCGGAACGUGCCCAGUCGUGGGGGAUAACUGCUCGAAAGAGCAGCUAAUACCGCAUACGACCUGAGGGUGAAAGCGGGGGAUCUUCGGACCUCGCGCGAUUGGAGCGGCCGAUAUCAGAUUAGGUAGUUGGUGGGGUAAAGGCCUACCAAGCCGACGAUCUGUAGCUGGUCUGAGAGGACGACCAGCCACACUGGGACUGAGACACGGCCCAGACUCCUACGGGAGGCAGCAGUGGGGAAUUUUGGACAAUGGGGGCAACCCUGAUCCAGCCAUGCCGCGUGCGGGAAGAAGGCCUUCGGGUUGUAAACCGCUUUUGUCAGGGAAGAAAUCCUUUGGGCUAAUAACUCGGAGGGAUGACGGUACCUGAAGAAUAAGCACCGGCUAACUACGUGCCAGCAGCCGCGGUAAUACGUAGGGUGCAAGCGUUAAUCGGAAUUACUGGGCGUAAAGCGUGCGCAGGCGGUUAUGCAAGACAGAUGUGAAAUCCCCGGGCUCAACCUGGGAACUGCAUUUGUGACUGCAUGGCUAGAGUACGGUAGAGGGGGA